RNAcentral lists this ribosomal RNA (671 nucleotides) under Naegleria sp. CRIB65. RNAcentral's name for it is "SSU rRNA". It matches the Rfam family "Eukaryotic small subunit ribosomal RNA", at positions 603 to 1192 of the family's 1831-position model. The record is from RNAcentral. Lineage: Eukaryota; Heterolobosea; Eutetramitea; Acrasida; Naegleriidae.
AUUAAUACUGCUGUAGUUAAAACGCCCGUAGUAUACCUAAGAGUGCGCAUGUAGUAAUUAGUUCUAUCAAGAGAUGGUUGGGGAGAGUUUAUAACCCUUCUUUGCCUACUUUUGGUAAACUUCAGUCGGGCAGGGCCUUACGGUUCUCGUCUGACAGUUGCUGCGUGUACACUUGUCCACGGUUCAUCCGUGAGGCCCCUUUGGGUUGCAACUGUAAAUAAAUCGUUGUGCUUAAAGCGGGCUAUGAUACUCUGCCAGAGCGAUUUAGCAUGGGACUGCAGAGUAGCUGUAUUUGAGUGAAACCUGGACCUCGGUUUGGGCGUAGCUUGGUACAGCGCUUGUAAUGGAGCUCAGGGUGAGGCCCCGGGUACCAUGAGGCUAGAGGUGAAAUUCUGAGACCCUCAUGUGACCAACUAAGGCGAAAGCUGUCGUGGGCCACCACAAGCUCGUCUAUCAGGGACGAAAGUUGGGGGAUCGAAGACGAUUAGAUACCGUCGUAGUCCCAACUAUAAACGAUACCAACCGAGUAUUUGGGAAGACACUAUCCCAGCGAUCUUCUCAGAACUCAAGGGAAACCUUAAGUCUUUGGGUUCUGGGGGGAGUAUAGUCGCAAGACCGAAACUUAAAGGAAUUGACGGAAAGGCACCACCAGGAGUGGAGUCUGCGGCUUA